UGGGGAAUUUUGGACAAUGGGGGAAACCCUGAUCCAGCCAUCCCGCGUGUGCGAUGAAGGCCUUCGGGUUGUAAAGCACUUUUGGCAGGAAAGAAACGUCAUGGGUUAAUACCCCGUGAAACUGACGGUACCUGCAGAAUAAGCACCGGCUAACUACGUGCCAGCAGCCGCGGUAAUACGUAGGGUGCAAGCGUUAAUCGGAAUUACUGGGCGUAAAGCGUGCGCAGGCGGUUCGGAAAGAAAGAUGUGAAAUCCCAGAGCUAAACUUUGGAACUGCAUUUUUAACUACCGGGCUAGAGUGUGUCAGAGGGAGGUGGAAUUCCGCGUGUAGCAGUGAAAUGCGUAGAUAUGCGGAGGAACAACGAUGGCGAAGGCAGCCUCCUGGGAUAACACUGACGCUCAUGCACGAAAGCGUGGGGAGCAAACAGG
RNAcentral lists this ribosomal RNA (429 nucleotides) under Acidobacteriota bacterium. Its description in RNAcentral is "Acidobacteria bacterium partial 16S ribosomal RNA". It matches the Rfam family "Bacterial small subunit ribosomal RNA", at positions 355 to 776 of the family's 1533-position model. The record is from RNAcentral. Lineage: Bacteria; Pseudomonadati; Acidobacteriota.